CAGCCGCCGCGGUAAUACCGGCGGCCCGAGUGGCGGCCACUAUUAUUGGGCUUAAAGCGUCCGUAGCCGGGUUGGUUAGUCUCCCGGGAAAUCUGGCCGCUUAACGGUCAGAAUUCCGGGAGAUACUGCCAGCCUAGGGACCGGGAGAGGCCGAGGGUAUUCCCGGAGUAGGGGUGAAAUCCUAUAAUCCCGGGAGGACCACCUGUGGCGAAGGCGCUCGGCUGGAACGGGUCCGACGGUGAGGGACGAAGGCCAGGGGAGCAAACCGGAUUAGAUGCCCGGGUAGUCCUGGCUGUAAACGAUGCGGACUAGGUGUCGGGCAAGCUAAGGGCUUGUCCGGUGCCGCAGGGAAGCCGUUAAGUCCGCCGCCUGGGGAGUACGGCCGCAAGGCUGAAACUUAAAGGAAUUGGCGGG
This 414-nucleotide ribosomal RNA is filed under the name uncultured microorganism. RNAcentral's name for it is "bacterial SSU rRNA". It matches the Rfam family "Archaeal small subunit ribosomal RNA", at positions 459 to 872 of the family's 1478-position model. The record is from RNAcentral.